This is a long non-coding RNA of Bufo gargarizans (Asiatic toad), 1220 nucleotides long. RefSeq lists it as uncharacterized. Lineage: Eukaryota; Metazoa; Chordata; Amphibia; Anura; Bufonidae. The record is from RefSeq and is a predicted model, not a curated record. The transcript has 4 exons.
CUAGCAGGCAGGACUGGAGACAGAUUUGGGCAGAAGCGGCCUUCUAUAUGGGACCGGACUCUGACACCUAUGCCUGCCGGGAGGGUGUAGAGAAGGAGACUACAACUCCAAGAAUGGUUCAUUCACAUCUAUGGGAGUGUAUGUUUGCAUGCUGGGAGCUGUAGUUUCACAGCAGCUGGAGUGCCGAAGGUUGCUGCUCCCUGGUGUAGAGAGAAGCUGGCAGGCACAAACCGCCGGCAACACAGUACUAGGUGUCCUUUGGAACAGAGCUGUUUACCAACUGCACAAUGACUGAAUGGGGGGAGGAGAGCUUACAGUACAGUCUAUGUAAUCAUAUCCUGUCUUCAGAGGAUGAGCAACAUCCCUGUACUAGUAAAAAAGCUAGGCGGCUUUGCAAGUUUCGGGGUGAGUGGCUUGAAAAUGCUGAAUUUGAAACAUGGCUUGUAAAGGAACAAGGUGAUAAUACAUUGGGAAGAUGCCGUGUGUGUCGCACUACAUUCAAGGUGACAUAUGAUGGCCUUAAAGCUCUCCAAAAUUCAGACCGUCACAAGCAAGCUAUCCAUGCUCAGAAAACAUCAGAUACUCUGCAAAAGUGGAAAAAGACAAAGUCCUUGCUGCUGAAAUCAUCCUAAUCUAUCAUGGGGUUACAUCUCAUCGAAGCUAUUUGUCUCAGUUCUUUUUUAGGACUGUGCGAAUAAACUUUAUUCAAAAGUUUUUCCAGACUCUCAGAUUGCCAGGAAAAUGCAUUGUGGAAGAACAAAAUGCGAAGCAAUUGUCCAAAAUGUUUUAGUCUCCUUCAGUUGAAUCCGUAGUAAAGCAGAUUCAAGGUGGAAAACCUUUUUCAAUUUCGCUUGAUGCUUCAAACAAAGGCAUCUCCAAAUAUUUUCGACUUUCAGUGACGUAUUUCACAAUGGAUAAGGGAGUUCAGAAAAGAGUGCUGGAUUUUUAUGAGGAUGCUGAUGAAACAUUUGAUGCCUGCUCAUAUACGUCAGGUUCUGAGCUCAUUUCAGCUUGAUCUCAAACAAGUUAUUUCUUAUGGUGCAGACAAUGCAUCUGUGAACUAUGGUAUCCAUCACUCCGUGUAUACCAACCUAAGGUCAGAAAAUUCUUACCUUUUGGCUGCAGCAGGAGCGUAGCUAGAAAUGACUGGGCCCCAUAGCAAAAAAAAUUAUGGGCCCCCCCUCCCGGAUCUCCCACCCCCACAUACCUAUCGGACCUCC